Molecule: long non-coding RNA, 715 nt
Organism: Anopheles funestus (African malaria mosquito)
Lineage: Eukaryota; Metazoa; Arthropoda; Insecta; Diptera; Culicidae
Exons: 3
Source: RefSeq, a predicted model, not a curated record
UUUCACUGCAAAAUUGCUUUUGCCCUGUCUUUGGCGUAUUCAUAUAAGUUUGGCCUUUGCUGGAGGCGGAGGUGUGUGCGCAAGCGUUAUCGUGUUUUGUGAAGUGAUUCUUUGCUCCGUGAAUCCCAUCGAUUCGAUCAGCUGAUGGAAAGAGUUUGGCCGUGAAGCGGAAAAGGUGAAGCCGGAGUUAAACCGCAGGAUGGCAGGACAAAUCACAUCGAGAGAGAGUGCUGAAUAUUCGACGUCUUGAGAGAAACCUCUGCCGAACAUAGGAACCCCAUCCCACCGUCCGCUUCGCAGAACGCUGGCAGUUUUUUUUACCUGUUCGUCGCAUGAUGAGCGUAUGUGCAAUAAAAAAAGGGAUCGUAUGUAUUUCCUGGUAAUUAUUUCGUUCACGGUCGUGGUGUGUUUGGGACGAGGGUGUCCCGAAUGCAGCAAUAGGAAAGAAAGGGAAAGCGAGAAAGAAAAAAAGCGAAGGAAAGAACGGGACAAAAUAAAGCUAAUUUUUUGGCUUCCAGGCUUAUUAUAAAUAAGCUUGGGAGCUUCCAUGCUUGCAAGCUUGCAUGCUCGUAUGCAAGCGUACAUACGCCCCGCCCCCUAUACCCGAUUCCCCCACCCCCGCGAACGAUCCACGAACGAGGCUUACUAAGUUGCUAGUAAGCCUUUAAUAAGCCGGCUAAUAAGCCGCAAUGUCGUACGACUUUUGCCAAGUGGG